UGGGGAAUCUUCCGCAAUGGACGAAAGUCUGACGGAGCAACGCCGCGUGAGUGAAGAAGGUUUUCGGAUCGUAAAACUCUGUCUUUUGGGGCGAACGUGAGUAUGGUGAACAAUCAUAGUCAGUGACGGUACCAAAGGAGGAAGCCACGGCUAACUACGUGCCAGCAGCCGCGGUAAUACGUAGGUGGCAAGCGUUGUCCGGAAUUAUUGGGCGUAAAGAGCGCGUAGGCGGGAUAGUCAGUCUGUUGUAAAAGUGCGGGGCUCAACCCCGUGAUGGCAAUGGAAACAGCUAUUCUUGAGUGCAGGAGAGGAAAGUGGAAUUCCCAGUGUAGCGGUGAAAUGCGUAGAUAUUGGGAGGAACACCAGUGGCGAAGGCGACUUUCUGGACUGUGUCUGACGCUGAGGCGCGAAAGCCAGGGGAGCGAACGGGAUUAGAUACCCCGGUAGUCCUGGCCGUAAACGAUGGGUACUAGGUGUGGGAGGUAUCGACCCCUUUCCGUGCCGGAGUUAACGCAAUAAGUACCCCGCUGGGGAGUACGGUCGCAAGACUGAAACUCAAAUGAAUUGACGGGGUCAUAGCUGUUUCCUG
Molecule: ribosomal RNA, 589 nt
Filed under: uncultured bacterium
Lineage: Bacteria
Description: partial 16S ribosomal RNA
Rfam family: Bacterial small subunit ribosomal RNA
Source: RNAcentral